GUGCCAGCAGCCGCGGUAAUACGUGGGUCCCGAGCGUUGUCCGGAUUUAUUGGGCGUAAAGGGAGCGCAGGCGGUCAGGAAAGUCUGGAGUAAAAGGCUAUGGCUCAACCAUAGUGUGCUCUGGAAACUGUCUGACUUGAGUGCAGAAGGGGAGAGUGGAAUUCCAUGUGUAGCGGUGAAAUGCGUAGAUAUAUGGAGGAACACCAGUGGCGAAAGCGGCUCU
RNAcentral lists this ribosomal RNA (223 nucleotides) under uncultured Streptococcaceae bacterium. RNAcentral's name for it is "partial 16S ribosomal RNA". It matches the Rfam family "Bacterial small subunit ribosomal RNA", at positions 505 to 728 of the family's 1533-position model. The record is from RNAcentral. Lineage: Bacteria; Bacillati; Bacillota; Bacilli; Lactobacillales; Streptococcaceae.